RNAcentral lists this ribosomal RNA (373 nucleotides) under uncultured bacterium. RNAcentral describes it as "bacterial SSU rRNA". It matches the Rfam family "Bacterial small subunit ribosomal RNA", at positions 527 to 896 of the family's 1533-position model. The record is from RNAcentral.
GUAGGGGGCAAGCGUUGUCCGGAUUUAUUGGGCGUAAAGAGCUCGUAGGCGGUUUGGUAAGUCUGGUGUGAAAUCUCCACGCUCAACGUGGAGGGGCCACCCGAUACUGCCAUGACUGGAGUCCGGUAGAGGAGUGUGGAAUUCCCGGUGUAGCGGUGAAAUGCGCAGAUAUCGGGAGGAACACCCGUAGCGAAGGCGGCACUCUGGGCCGGAACUGACGCUGAGGAGCGAAAGCGUGGGGAGCAAACAGGAUUAGAUACCCUGGUAGUCCACGCCGUAAACGUUGGGCACUAGGUGUGGGGCUCUAUCGACGGGUUCCGUGCCGAAGCUAACGCAUUAAGUGCCCCGCCUGGGGAGUACGGCCGCAAGGCUA